UGUCUUACCAAAAUGACACUAAAAAAAUCAGAUUAGGAUUUCAAAAACAACACAAAAAAAAAAAAAAAACAGAAAUCUUGUAUCUAGCAGGAUGAAGUAGCUUCUCAAAGAGAAACACAUUUCUCAUUAUCUGCAAGUGAUUUGCAUUUGCUGCAAAAUUAUUGUAAGCACUUUGGCUCUAGCUAGGAAUGAUACAAAAAUAAACCACUAAAACAAAAUUAAGGCCUAAAGAAACAAAAUCCAGCCACUAAAGAGAAAGAAAACAACACAUAGAAGAAAAGAGAGGAAGAAGAGAAUGCAUAAAAUAAAAUGGAUAGUAAUGUGACAUACACCAACACCAAAGAAUAUCACUAAAGUGUGUUUCAAAUACCUAGACACACAACUCCAAUGGUAGAUAACACCACAUUCUUAGGUGGACGCAAAGGAAUUCACAAUCUCAAGCACCCACCUUUCUUGCCAAUUUAUCAACACAAUUGAAAUCAUCAAUUGUGCUAACCCUAAUUUCGGUUUCUCUCUCUUAAGGAGAAGAAGAACACUACAAUUUAAAAGUCACUCAAGUCAUUCUCUCAAAAACUAAGGAAAAUACAAGCUAAAAGGCCUAUUUAAACUUAUUACAACCAAAUGACAAAAAUGCCCUUAAUGAGGGCUUAGGAAAAGCGCGUCUAUGAAGUGUUAUUUUGGAGUAUAAAAAGUCCAUCUUUCCCUUUAAUUGAGGUGCCUCUUUGAGUGUAAGGACCCUCCUCCUUUUUUCACUUGGACAAGGCUUUGAAAGGCUCCAAAAAGGUCUUUAAUCACUUGCAAGAUCCGAAACUUGAACCUUCCACAAUACCUUAUACUUUUUGUGCUUUUCAUGCUUGUAUCAUCCUCUCUAUCUUGAAAGGAAUUUGUCCUUAAAUUCACAUUUUGCAAAACCAAAGAGGGAAGAAAACAAGCACACAAUCCUCUUGGUAGGAGGUUUAACAUUAGUACCACAAUUAUAUAAUCACUCCAAGGUGGUUCACAUUUAACAUACAUCCAUAUAUCAUUGGUAUUUGGCAUGAAAAUCUUGGCAUAAAGGAUACCAAAGAAGUGAAUGGCAUCAACAUAAAAAGGUAAUGAGCAUAAAUCGAAACCACACCUCCCACAUCUCAAAGGUAUUUUGGGGUCAAAAUGAAGUAGUAAGCAAGGGUCUAGGUCGAGGUUAGCCAUUCCUUUUACUAGAAAAUCAUGCUCACAAUUACUCAAAACAAUCACCCUUAAGAGAAAUCAAGAGUAAAGGGUUAUGGUCUAAAAAUCCCCUCCUAGGAACAAGCACACCUUUAUUCACAAGUUUGCCAAACACAUAAUCAUCAUGAACAAGUCUAGUGGCACGGUUUUCAUCACAUAAGCUCAAGGAAUCAAGUUCCAUGUCAUGAUCAAUAUUAUAAAAAUGAGCACCAACUUGAGGAUUUUUAAUCACAUCAUUCACGUAGCCAAGAAGUGAACUAUACGUAGAAGCACAUUGAUCAUGGUACAAAUUAAGAGAGAUAUUAAGAGAAGAAACAUGCAUCCGUGUAUCACACAAACCCGAGACCAGCACACUAGAGGGUACAUCACAAUAUUUCAAGCGCAAAGAAGGGUAUGGAGUAGCCUUAAGAGUAAGUUGAUCAUUGUUCACAAAUAAUGAGCUGCUAAGGAAGGGAACAUGUACUUCUACUUCAACCAAACUUGUGACCAUUUCACAAUAAAUCAUAUAACAACAAUUUAAGUUCAAGGUAAUGUAUGGGGUAGCAAUGAUACCUAGGUUUGGGCUAGGGCAGUCCACUCUUUUGGAGUUAUCAGUCAAGGGUGCCUUUAGGUCAUUUUUGUGCAAAACUCCUUGUUGAUUCUUCAUUAAUAACUUAGGAACUUGAACCUGCAAAUAAGAAGAAUCAAUGCUAAGCAAAGUGCUAGCAUUUAAGUUAGUUAGUAACAAUGGACAUUUGCGGGCAAGUCCUACAAAUAAAGUUUCCUUUCCCUUUGUUUUCUCACAAUCCGAGGCCUCCCUUUCCCCUUCCCUCUUUUGUUUACAUUUUUCUUGUACUUCUCCACCUAUUUUCUCUCCAUCUUGAGGCUUGGUCUCAUUAUCCUUGGACUUUAGCUCUCCCUCGUCUUCUACAUGAAUGGAGGGGUCUUGGUUUAGUGUAGUUUGAAGAGGAGGUAUCAUUGGUUAAGGAUGGAUUUGGGUUGGUGGCUUUAUAUUUGGGGAAAUGUUGAAUCUUUGGUUUUAAGGGAUUUGAACUUGUGGAGGUUUUGGUGGACAUAGUCUAUCAACCCCCUCUUUUAGUUUAAUCACGUCACUCCUCAUUGAUCCCAUAUAACUCUUCAUAUCUCCUAUAUGUCCCUUUAUUUCUCCCAAAUUCGAACCCAUUCUUGCCAUUUUUUGGUUCAUGGCCUCAAGUUGAGCCAUGAUGAGCCCACCAAUAUCAUUACCAAUGGGUUGUACUUGAACCCAUGGGUUCCAUGCUCCUUGUACCUAACAAACAAUCAAAAACAACAAAGAAAAAUAAUACCUACAAAACAAACAAACAUGUUAGUUCAAUGAAAACCUCACCACACUCUCACUCGGAUCUCACCUCAUACUUGGUCUCACAAGUGUUGAAUACUUGGCAAGUGAAUUGAGUGGUGAAUAUGCUUUGGUCCGGAAUCGAUUUUUGUUUGAUAUGACUCAAAUAAAAUGAUGCACGGACUUGAACCAACAAACUACUACGAAUUAAAAAUGAGAAAAGGCACACAAAAACCAAAGACACGAAAUAAACAAACUCUAGACUAAUUACCAACCUAGUAGGUACUUACUAGUUUGCUAAUUAGUGAUAGAAUUUAACACAUAAGAAACUAGAAUAAAAAAAUUAAAAACUAGAAAAUCUACUUAGGAACUCAAUUUGGCCGAUUCCACUUGAUGAUGUGGCAAUCUUUGAUUGGGCAUGGUUUUCAAAAUUUUCAAUCCCAAAUUUUCUUCAAGUCUCAGCCUACACCUUAAGGAAGAAUAGAAAAAUGCUUUGGGAGGGAAAAACAACAAGUUUGGAGCUCUUUUGAAGCUCCAAUUUGAAUUCAAAAGAUUGGUCCCCCCCUUUGUACUUGGAUUGUACUUGAUUUGUACUUGGUUGUCUCCUUCGUUUUCUUCCUUCUUUUGGAUGACAAUGAAUAUACCAAGGAAUAUUCUUCCACAAACACCGAGUACACUCUCUUUCCUCUCCUUUUUUUGGAUCAAACACCUUCCUUGAAUAUUCUUCUUCAACAAGAUUGGAUGAACAUAGAAAAACAAGAUGAAUAUUCAAGGGUUGACCAACGUUUGACCUUCACUAAAAUGAACCCUAACCUUCAAUUUUUUUUUAUAGAUCUAGGUUCCUUAGGCCAAUAUGAACUCAAAUAUAACAAAAUCAGCAACAACCAAUGUCCAAAACUACAACACUACCCGGAUCUAUCACCUUUAGAGCUUCAAGACGCCAUAUCCAUGGUGGAUCUAGCUCAAAAUCGUCCAAAUCUUGUUCCAAGAGUAGAUCUAGACUUCUUAGGUGCUAGGGAGCAAGGAUCUAGCACUUUAAAUCAACAAAUCAUAAUGAAAUUUAGUAGAUCUAACUUUCAACGCACAGAUCUACUACCAACAACAAGACAAAUAAUUUUUUUGAGUUUUUCAGAUUUUUGACUCUUUUUUGUUGAGAUUUUCUUAAUAAGGACACUAAAACCAAGGAUUAGAUUUGUGGGAACAACCCUAAGCAAGGCUCUGAUACCAAAUGAUAUAAAAAUAAACCACUAAAAUGAAAUUAAGGCCUAAAGAAACAAAAACCAGCAACUAAAGAGAAAGAAAACAACACAUAGAAGAAAGGAGAUGAAGAAGAGAAUGCAUAAAAUGAAAUGGAUAGUAAUGUGACAUACACCAACACCAAAGAAUAGCACGAAAGUGUGUUUCAAACACCUAGACACACAACUCCAAUGG
RNAcentral lists this long non-coding RNA (3934 nucleotides) under Capsicum annuum. RNAcentral describes it as "long non-coding RNA (CANN_LNC008000)". The record is from RNAcentral. Lineage: Eukaryota; Viridiplantae; Streptophyta; Magnoliopsida; Solanales; Solanaceae.